Molecule: long non-coding RNA, 238 nt
Organism: Drosophila persimilis
Lineage: Eukaryota; Metazoa; Arthropoda; Insecta; Diptera; Drosophilidae
Exons: 3
Source: RefSeq, a predicted model, not a curated record
GUUAAGUUUAAUGAGUUUAAUAUGAAUUGCAAGUCUUUGUCAAGCAGUGAGUGUUUUUUGUUUUGUGCAAAUCCAAGAAAAACCGGUAUAUAGCGACGCAGAUUCAUAGAUGCAUGUGCUCUGUUGAGGACUACUCCUGAAAGGUAGGAGAGACGCUGAAACUUCCCAUUAACUCAGAGGCGGGAAUGCUACCAAUUAGCAGACGUAGUACCCAGUCCUGGCCCUGGCUCUGGCCCUA